GAGGCAUCAGGAUGUCUGUGUGCUCUUUCCGAAGAAGCAGGGAAACGGAGCUGGUCAGAAGACACGGUAGUGUUUAGUGUUUACCACUGGAUUUCAAGCCAGAAGAAAAUGAAAUUGGGGGCAUAUUUUUGAAGAUUUCCAGUUUCUUUCUAAUUUUAUAUCUUGGAAAUGCUCACUGAGAGAACACAUAGGCUCUUGGAGCAAAGCUGAUCAAGAAUCAAUUAUUCUGACUGCACAGGAAGGCUCCCCACCCAGCCUGAAGCCCAAUGUGGAGCUUGAACU
Molecule: long non-coding RNA, 282 nt
Organism: Suricata suricatta (meerkat)
Lineage: Eukaryota; Metazoa; Chordata; Mammalia; Carnivora; Herpestidae
Exons: 3
Source: RefSeq, a predicted model, not a curated record